Molecule: long non-coding RNA, 275 nt
Organism: Mastomys coucha (southern multimammate mouse)
Lineage: Eukaryota; Metazoa; Chordata; Mammalia; Rodentia; Muridae
Exons: 2
Source: RefSeq, a predicted model, not a curated record
GCUCAGGGCACUGACAGAAGCAGUCAUUGAGGGAGCCACGGGGGCCCUGAAGAAGCUGCAGGGUGGGGCUGCUCCUGAGUGCCUGGUGCCAGAGGACAAUGGCUUCUAUCUAAUAGGCCAGGAGAGCCUCAGGCAGUAGAUGGGACCUGCCUGUCCUGCCAGGAUCCUGGGGAUUGCAGGUUCCAGAGGUCCUUGUCAGCCUUGCAGCAGAUGUCUGAAGAACAGAAAUGGCCACAGUGUGGGGAGCCGUGAAGCUGGAGAGGCAUUCGCCAUGG